GUCGGCCGCGGUGAAGCCGAUUGGCCGGAGCCUCGGCCGGGAGGCAGAAACGAGACCGGUGGAUUUCGGCGAGGAGGCCGCAGCGGCCACACCGUCG
Molecule: non-coding RNA, 97 nt
Filed under: Lingulaulax polyedra
Lineage: Eukaryota; Dinophyceae; Gonyaulacales; Lingulodiniaceae
Source: RNAcentral